AUGGGAUGCAACCAACUCGUUAUUAAUUAUGACAAUCUUGAGGUCAUUGACACUAUGAAGACGGGUGGUCAUUCUUUGGGGGCGGCGGCUGUUUUCGACGACUGUUAUCAUUCCAUUUGCGAUUUUACUAUUUGUAGGUUUGAACAUUGUAAUAGGGAAGCAAAUAAAGUUGCUCAUGAGCUCGCUAGGUUGGCUAGAUUUUCUUUGACGUAUGAUUGGCUUGAGGAGCCUCCAAUUGAACUUGUACCCUUUCUCAUAAAUGAUAUAACUGUUAUUUCAAAUGAAUAA
This 288-nucleotide ribosomal RNA is filed under the name Triticum aestivum (bread wheat). Its description in RNAcentral is "partial small subunit ribosomal RNA". Lineage: Eukaryota; Viridiplantae; Streptophyta; Magnoliopsida; Poales; Poaceae. The record is from RNAcentral.